AAAAUUUUAAGAUAAAUUUUUAAUCUAUUAACCUUCAAAGUUAAAUAUAUAAAACAAUUUUAUAAAUUUUA
This 71-nucleotide transfer RNA is filed under the name Polistes rothneyi. Its description in RNAcentral is "tRNA-Trp". Lineage: Eukaryota; Metazoa; Arthropoda; Insecta; Hymenoptera; Vespidae. The record is from RNAcentral.